This 253-nucleotide ribosomal RNA is filed under the name uncultured bacterium. RNAcentral describes it as "partial 16S ribosomal RNA". It matches the Rfam family "Bacterial small subunit ribosomal RNA", at positions 524 to 776 of the family's 1533-position model. The record is from RNAcentral.
UACGAAGGGGGCUAGCGUUGCUCGGAAUCACUGGGCGUAAGGCGCACGUAGGCGGGUCUUUAAGUCAGGGGGGAAAUCCUGGAGCUCAACUCCAGAACUGCCUUUGAUACUGAGGAUCUUGAGUUCGGGAGAGGUGAGUGGAACUGCGAGUGUAGAGGUGAAAUUCGUAGAUAUUCGCAAGAACACCAGUGGCGAAGGCGGCUUUCUGGUCUGUAACUGACGCUGAGGCGCGAAAGCGUGGGGAGCAAACAGG